GUAGGCAUAGUUUAAAAAAAAUACUAGAUUGUGAUUCUGGAGACAGGAGUUAAAGCCCCCUUGCUUACC
RNAcentral lists this transfer RNA (69 nucleotides) under Trimma emeryi (Emery's goby). Its description in RNAcentral is "tRNA-His". It matches the Rfam family "tRNA". From Rfam's summary of the family: Transfer RNA (tRNA) molecules are approximately 80 nucleotides in length. Their secondary structure includes four short double-helical elements and three loops (D, anti-codon, and T loops). Lineage: Eukaryota; Metazoa; Chordata; Actinopteri; Gobiiformes; Gobiidae. The record is from RNAcentral.